GACGAACGCUGGCGGCGUGCCUAAUACAUGCAAGUCGAACGCAGUGGGGACGGGUGAGUAACACGUGGGUAACCUCCCAUCAGAGGGGGAUACACUUGGAAACAGGUGCUAAACCGAUACUGAUGGAUGAACCCGCGGUGCAUUAGCUAGUUGGUGAGGUAACGGCUCACCAAGGCCACGAUGCAUAGCCGACCGGAGAGUGGGGUCGGCCACACGGGGACGGAGACACGGCCCAUACUCCUACGGUAGGCAGCAGUAGGGAAUCGUCGGCAAGGGACGAAAGUCUGACCGAGCAACGCCGCGUGAGUGAAGAAGGUUUUCGGUUCGUAAAACUCUGUUGUUAGAUAAGCGGUAUCUAACCAGAAAGCCACGGCUAACUACGUGCCAGCCGCCGCGGUAAUUC
This 403-nucleotide ribosomal RNA is filed under the name uncultured bacterium. Its description in RNAcentral is "partial 16S ribosomal RNA". It matches the Rfam family "Bacterial small subunit ribosomal RNA", at positions 28 to 526 of the family's 1533-position model. The record is from RNAcentral.